RNAcentral lists this ribosomal RNA (505 nucleotides) under uncultured bacterium. RNAcentral describes it as "partial 16S ribosomal RNA". It matches the Rfam family "Bacterial small subunit ribosomal RNA", at positions 28 to 507 of the family's 1533-position model. The record is from RNAcentral.
GACGAACGCUGGCGGCGUGCCUAAUACAUGCCAGUAGAACGCACAGUUUAUACCGUAGCUUGCUACACCAUAGACUGUGAGUUGCGAACGGGUGAGUAACGCGUAGGUAACCUGCCUGGUAGCGGGGGAUAACUAUUGGAAACGAUAGCUAAUACCGCAUAAUAUUGAUUAUUGCAUGAUAAUUGAUUGAAAGAUGCUAUUGCAUCACUACCAGAUGGACCUGCGUUGUAUUAGCUAGUAGGUGAGGUAACGGCUCACCUAGGCGACGAUACAUAGCCGACCUGAUAGGGUGAUCUGCCACACUGGGACUGAGACACGGCCCAGACUCCUACGGGAGGCAGCAGUAGGGAAUCUUCGGCAAUGGACGAAAGUCUGACCGAGCAACGCCGCGUGAGUGAAGAAGGUUUUCGGAUCGUAAAGCUCUGUUGUAAGAGAAGAACGGGUGUGAGAGUGGAAAGUUCACACUGUGACGGUAUCUUACCAGAAAGGGACGGCUAACUACGUG